RNAcentral lists this ribosomal RNA (371 nucleotides) under uncultured organism. RNAcentral's name for it is "partial 16S ribosomal RNA". It matches the Rfam family "Bacterial small subunit ribosomal RNA", at positions 527 to 896 of the family's 1533-position model. The record is from RNAcentral.
GGAGGGGGCUAGCGUUGUUCGGAAUUACUGGGCGUAAAGGGCGCGUAGGCGGCCAACUAAGUUAGGUGUGAAAGCCCCCAGGGCUCAACCUGGGGAACUGCGCUUAAUACUGGUUGGCUAGAGAUCGGUAGAGGGAAAUGGAAUUCCUAGUGUAGAGGUGAAAUUCGUAGAUAUUAGGUAGAACACCAGAGGCGAAGGCGAUUUCCUGGGCCGAUACUGACGCUGAGGCGCGAAAGCGUGGGGAGCAAACAGGAUUAGAUACCCUGGUAGUCCACGCUGUAAACGAUGAAUGCUAGACGUUGGCAGUUUAUCUGUCGGUGUCGCAGCUAACGCAAUAAGCAUUCCGCCUGGGGACUACGAUCGCAAGAUUA